RNAcentral lists this ribosomal RNA (506 nucleotides) under uncultured bacterium. RNAcentral describes it as "partial 16S ribosomal RNA". It matches the Rfam family "Bacterial small subunit ribosomal RNA", at positions 28 to 523 of the family's 1533-position model. The record is from RNAcentral.
GAUGAACGCUAGCUACAGGCUUAACACAUGCAAGUCGAGGGGUAACAAGAGUAAAGCUUGCUUUUCUUGUUGACGACCGGCGCACGGGUGAGUAACGCGUAUCCAACCUUCCUAUAACUGGGGAAUAACCUUGCGAAAGUAAGACUAAUACCCUAUGAUUUCCUUUGAUGACAUCAGAUUAGGAAUAAAGAUUUAUCGGUUAUAGAUGGGCAUGCGUCGGAUUAGCUUGUUGGCGGGGUGACGGCACACCAAGGGAACGGUCAGUAGGGUUUCUGAAAGGAAGGUCCCCCACAUUGGAACUGGGACACGGGCCAAACUCCUACGGGAGGCAGCAGUGAGGAAUAUUGGUCAAUGGGCGGAAGCCUGAACCAGCCAAGUAGCGUGCAGGAUGACGGCCCUAUGGGUUGUAAACUGCUUUUAUACAGGAAUAAAGUUAGCCACGUGUGGUUAUUUGUAGGUACUGUAUGAAUAAGGACCGGCUAAUUCCGUGCCAGCCGCCGCCGUAA